AUGGACAUGAGGGCCUAUGCUCAGUUUCUUGGGUUCUUGUUGCUGUGGUUUCCAGGUGCCAGUUGCGACAUCCAGAUGACCCAGUCUCCGUCCUCCAUGUCUGCAUCUCUGGGAGACACAGUCACUAUUAAUUGUCUGGCAAGUCAGGACAUUGGGAACUAUUUAAGCUGGUACCAGCAGAAACCAGGAAAAUCUCCUAAGCUCAUGAUUUAUGGUGCAACCAACUUGGAAGAUGGGGUCCCAUCAAGGUUCAGUGGCAGUAGGUCUGGGUCAGAUUAUUCUCUCACCAUCAAUAGCCUGGGGCAUGAUGAUGAAGGAAUCUAUCACUGUCAUCAAUAUUAUGAGGCACCUACAUAUGUAAAAGAAACCUUACUAAAG
Rattus rattus (black rat) is the source of this 378-nucleotide non-coding RNA. NCBI's taxonomy places the organism in Eukaryota, Metazoa, Chordata, Mammalia, Rodentia, Muridae. The record is from the annotation of a RefSeq genome assembly.